GAUGAACGCUGGCGGCGUGCCUAAUACAUGCAAGUAGAACGCUGAAGGAGGAGCUUGCUCUUCUGGAUGAGUUGCGAACGGGUGAGUAACGCGUAGGUAACCUGCCUGGUAGCGGGGGAUAACUAUUGGAAACGAUAGCUAAUACCGCAUGACAACAGUUAUUGCAUGAUAACUGUUUAAAAGGGGCAACUGCUCCACUACCAGAUGGACCUGCGUUGUAUUAGCUAGUUGGUGAGGUAACGGCUCACCAAGGCGACGAUACAUAGCCGACCUGAGAGGGUGAUCGGCCACACUGGGACUGAGACACGGCCCAGACUCCUACGGGAGGCAGCAGUAGGGAAUCUUCGGCAAUGGACGGAAGUCUGACCGAGCAACGCCGCGUGAGUGAAGAAGGUUUUCGGAUCGGAAAGCUCUGUUGUAAGAGAAGAACGAGUGUGAGAGUGGAAAGUUCACACUGUGACGGUAUCUUACCAGAAAGGGACGGCUAACUACGUG
This 495-nucleotide ribosomal RNA is filed under the name uncultured bacterium. Its description in RNAcentral is "partial 16S ribosomal RNA". It matches the Rfam family "Bacterial small subunit ribosomal RNA", at positions 28 to 507 of the family's 1533-position model. The record is from RNAcentral.